Molecule: ribosomal RNA, 253 nt
Filed under: uncultured bacterium
Lineage: Bacteria
Description: partial 16S ribosomal RNA
Rfam family: Bacterial small subunit ribosomal RNA
Source: RNAcentral
GACAGAGGGUGCAAACGUUGCUCGGAGUUACUGGGCGUAAAGCGUGCGCAGGCGGCUCAUUGCGCCCGGCGUGAAAGCCCCCGGCUCAACCGGGGAGGGUCGUCGGGGACGGGUGAGCUUGAGGGUAUCAGGGGUUGGUGGAAUUCCCGGUGUAGUGGUGAAAUGCGUAGAGAUCGGGAGGAACACCCGUGGCGAAGGCGGCCAACUGGGAUACACCUGACGCUGAGGUACGAAAGCGUGGGGAGCAAACAGG